CAGAGCAUAGCUAAGUAAGCAUAGCACCUCCUUUACACUGAGAAGUCGUCCGUUCAAAUCGGACUGCCCUGA
This 72-nucleotide transfer RNA is filed under the name Scolopsis bilineata (two-lined monocle bream). RNAcentral's name for it is "tRNA-Val". It matches the Rfam family "tRNA". From Rfam's summary of the family: Transfer RNA (tRNA) molecules are approximately 80 nucleotides in length. The record is from RNAcentral. Lineage: Eukaryota; Metazoa; Chordata; Actinopteri; Spariformes; Nemipteridae.